CGGCGGACGGGUGAGUAACGCGUGAGAAUCUACCCAUGAGUGGGGGACAACCCGGGGAAACUCGGGCUAAUACCGCAUACGCCCUACGGGGUAAAGCAGGGGACCUUCGGGCCUUGCGCUGAUGGAUGAGCUCGCGUCGGAUUAGCUUGUUGGUGAGGUAAAGGCUCACCAAGGCGACGAUCGGUAGCUGGUCUGAGAGGAUGAUC
This 206-nucleotide ribosomal RNA is filed under the name Synchroma pusillum. Its description in RNAcentral is "partial Bacterial small subunit ribosomal RNA". It matches the Rfam family "Bacterial small subunit ribosomal RNA", at positions 96 to 305 of the family's 1533-position model. Lineage: Eukaryota; Synchromophyceae; Synchromales; Synchromaceae. The record is from RNAcentral.